RNAcentral lists this ribosomal RNA (500 nucleotides) under uncultured bacterium. RNAcentral describes it as "partial 16S ribosomal RNA". It matches the Rfam family "Bacterial small subunit ribosomal RNA", at positions 30 to 523 of the family's 1533-position model. The record is from RNAcentral.
AUUGAACGCUGGCGGCAUGCCUUACACAUGCAAGUCGAACGGCAGCACGGGAGCAAUCCUGGUGGCGAGUGGCGAACGGGUGAGUAAAGUAUCGGAACGUGCCCAGUCGUGGGGGGUAACGUAGCGAAAGUUACGCUAAUACCGCAUACGAUCUAUGGAUGAAAGCGGGGGAUCGCAAGACCUCGCGCGAUUGGAGCGGCCGAUAUCAGAUUAGGUAGUUGGUGGGGUAAAGGCCCACCAAGCCAACGAUCCGUAGCUGGUCUGAGAGGACGACCAGCCACACUGGAACUGAGACACGGUCCAGACUCCUACGGGAGGCAGCAGUGGGGAAUUUUGGACAAUGGGCGAAAGCCUGAUCCAGCCAUUCCGCGUGCAGGAUGAAGGCCCUCGGGUUGUAAACUGCUUUUGUACAGAACGAAAAGGUUUCUACUAAUACUAGGAGCUCAUGACGGUACUGUAAGAAUAAGCACCGGCUAACUACGUGCCAGCAGCCGCCGUAA